RNAcentral lists this long non-coding RNA (545 nucleotides) under Oreochromis niloticus (Nile tilapia). RNAcentral describes it as "lncRNA (ENSONIG00000042095.1)". Lineage: Eukaryota; Metazoa; Chordata; Actinopteri; Cichliformes; Cichlidae. The record is from RNAcentral.
CGUGGGGCUAAAAGUGUCUGACAGGAAAAUCAAAGACUUCAGCUCUUCUGAGUUCAUGCUGCUUGUCUGUCUGACUCAGGAUUCCCUUGGGAGAAGCUUGCUUCUGAGUGUCAGAGGAAAAAGUCACUCUCUUUCAACACGUGAGUGGGCGGCAACAAAAGAAAAGCUACAGGCCGCUCUCAUCCCUGAGUGUGUCCCUGGUGAUCUAAAUGCGUCCCCGUUUUGCUGUGAGAGGCUCCAACCCCCCAUGUGACCCUGAACGGGACCAGCGGAAGAAGAAGGAAAAAAUGGAUGGAUGGAUUUACAGUCCUGUAAGUCUUUAUGUUAGCCAUUAGGGAACUCUCAUUCUUCAGUUGACUGUGCGCUAAAUGAGGUUUACUCAAGCAACACAAUGAGAAUCAUUUCAGCCUGAAGUAAAAAAGCAAAACUUUUAUAUCAUUGUAUUGUGGUUUCCUGUUAAUCAGGGUUUACACAACCACCACAGGGGUUCAUCUGCCUCCACCUUAUCCCUUGCAUUCUCUUCUGUCACACCAACCCUCUUCAUU